Molecule: long non-coding RNA, 481 nt
Filed under: Brassica rapa (field mustard)
Lineage: Eukaryota; Viridiplantae; Streptophyta; Magnoliopsida; Brassicales; Brassicaceae
Description: long non-coding RNA (BRAP_LNC008716)
Source: RNAcentral
UUGGAAGUCAAGGCAAGUGGGGAACUCGUCCAGCUGAGCUUUCUGAAGCAUAUUUGAAGUUUAAACUAAGUAUGAGACCGUUGGAGAGAGAUCUGGCAAGUUGGAGAAUUAAUUAAGAUAAAAGUCACAUGUGCAUAAGGAGAUGAACCUGCUGUCACUUUCACCCAACCAGACUGUGCCCAUCUCUCUCUCCUGUCACUCUCUACUCCCUCUGGUCGAGAUUCUCCUUGGCUGCAUCCUCCUGGCUCCAUCAGAAACCCUACAAUAAUAUUAGUUUAGUAAAUCUGUACUUUAACAAUUGUUUAAUCACUUGCAACUUGUAAUCUGGCUAUAAAGCCACCCCAUUGUAACCAUUACGAAAUUAAGCUGAAUGGGGGAGUUUCCCCUUUCUUCUUCACCAUUCUCAAGUCUCUUAUACUCUCCCUAAUCUCUGGUUACAAGAAUCUCUCUCAUACUCUCUCAAAUCUCACUUAAUCUCUCU